This 432-nucleotide ribosomal RNA is filed under the name uncultured bacterium. RNAcentral describes it as "partial 16S ribosomal RNA". It matches the Rfam family "Bacterial small subunit ribosomal RNA", at positions 29 to 506 of the family's 1533-position model. The record is from RNAcentral.
AACGAACGCUGGCGGCAUGCCUAACACAUGCGAGUCGAACGAUGCCUUCGGGCAUAGUGGCGCACGGGUGCGUAACGCGUGGGAAUCUGCCUUUCGGUUCGGAAUAACUCAGGGAAACUUGAGCUAAUACCGGAUAACGUCGCAAGACCAAAGAUUUAUCACCGAAAGAUGAGCCCGCGCAGGAUUAGCUAGUUGGUGAGGUAAAGGCUCACCAAGGCGACGAUCCUUAGCUGGUCUGAGAGGAUGAUCAGCCACACUGGGACUGAGACACGGCCCAGACUCCUACGGGAGGCAGCAGUGGGGAAUAUUGGACAAUGGGCGAAAGCCUGAUCCAGCAAUGCCGCGUGAGUGAUGAAGGCCUUAGGGUUGUAAAGCUCUUUUACCCGGGAAGAUAAUGACGGGACCGGGAGAAUAAGCCCCGGCUAACUCCGU